GAUGAACGCUGACAGAAUGCUUAACACAUGCAAGUCUACUUGAAUUUGGGUUUUUUAACUUAGAUUUGGGUGGCGGACGGGUGAGUAACGCGUAAAGAACUUGCCUCACAGCUAGGGACAACAUUUGGAAACGAAUGCUAAUACCUGAUAUUAUGAUUAUAAGGCAUCUUAGAAUUAUGAAAGCUAUAUGCGCUGUGAGAGAGCUUUGCGUCCCAUUAGCUAGUUGGAGAGGUAACGGCUCACCAAGGCGAUGAUGGGUAGCCGGCCUGGGAGGGUGAACGGCCACAAGGGGACUGAGAAACGGCCCGUACUCAUACGGGAGGCAGCAGUGGGGAACAUUGGACAAUGGACCAAGAGUCUGAUCAAGCAAUUCUGUGUGCACGAUGACGUUCUUCGGAAUGAAAAGUGCUUUCAGUUGGGAAGAAAAAAAUGACGGUACCAACAGAAGAAGUGACGGCUAAAUACGUG
This 468-nucleotide ribosomal RNA is filed under the name uncultured bacterium. RNAcentral describes it as "partial 16S ribosomal RNA". It matches the Rfam family "Bacterial small subunit ribosomal RNA", at positions 28 to 507 of the family's 1533-position model. The record is from RNAcentral.